UCCACAUCCAUGUAUGUAGGACCCCAAAGGAUCACUGUUAAAUUUGGCACAGAUCUCUAAAAAAGUUAUCACAUGGGUGUGAGUCUUGACUUAUAUAGAGAUCUGUGUCAAAUUUAAUGGUGAUCGUUUAGGGUCCUCCACACAUGGGUGUGGG
RNAcentral lists this microRNA precursor (154 nucleotides) under Amborella trichopoda. RNAcentral's name for it is "MIR8565 microRNA precursor family". It matches the Rfam family "MIR8565 microRNA precursor family". The record is from Rfam by way of RNAcentral. Lineage: Eukaryota; Viridiplantae; Streptophyta; Magnoliopsida; Amborellales; Amborellaceae.